RNAcentral lists this non-coding RNA (45 nucleotides) under Schistosoma curassoni. The record is from RNAcentral. Lineage: Eukaryota; Metazoa; Platyhelminthes; Trematoda; Strigeidida; Schistosomatidae.
AUCCAGUUGACGAGCCCCAAAUAAGACGAAACGCGACUCCUGGAU